UACGUAGGGGGCAAGCGUUAUCCGGAUUUACAGGGUGUAAAGGGAGCGUAGACGGAUAAGCAAGUCUGAUGUGAAAAUCCGGGGCCCAACCCCGGAAUUGCAUUGGAAACUGCAUAUCUAGAGUGUCGGAGAGGCAAGUGGAAUUCCUGGUGUAGCGGUGAAAUGCGUAGAUAUCAGGAGGAACACCAGUGGCGAAGGCGGCUUGCUGGACGAUGACUGACGUUGAGGCUCGAAAGCGUGGGGAGCAAACAGG
RNAcentral lists this ribosomal RNA (253 nucleotides) under uncultured bacterium. RNAcentral's name for it is "partial 16S ribosomal RNA". It matches the Rfam family "Bacterial small subunit ribosomal RNA", at positions 524 to 776 of the family's 1533-position model. The record is from RNAcentral.